GAUGAAGAACGUAGCGAAAUGCGAUAAGUAAUGUGAAUUGCAGAAUUCAGUGAAUCAUCGAAUCUUUGAACGCACAUUGCGCCCGCCAGUAUUCUGGCGGGCAUGCCUGUUCGAGCGUCAUUACAACCCUCAGGCCCCCGGGCCUGGCGUUGGGGAUCGGCGGAAGCCCCCUGCGGGCACAACGCCGUCCCCCAAAUACAGUGGCGGUCCCGCCGCAGCUUCCAUUGCGUAGUAGCUAACACCUCGCAACUGGAGAGCGGCGCGGCCACGCCGUAAAACACCCAGCUUCUGAAUGUUGACCUCGAAUCAGGUAGGAAUACCCGCUGAACUUAAGCAUAUCAAUAAGCGGAGGA
Molecule: unclassified non-coding RNA, 353 nt
Filed under: soil metagenome
Description: partial contains 5.8S ribosomal RNA, internal transcribed spacer 2, and large subunit ribosomal RNA
Rfam family: 5.8S ribosomal RNA (bases 1-120)
Source: RNAcentral